This 273-nucleotide ribosomal RNA is filed under the name uncultured bacterium. Its description in RNAcentral is "partial 16S ribosomal RNA". It matches the Rfam family "Bacterial small subunit ribosomal RNA", at positions 524 to 796 of the family's 1533-position model. The record is from RNAcentral.
UACGAAGGGGGCUAGCGUUGCUUGGAAUUACUGGGCGUAAAGGGAGCGUAGGCGGACAUUUAAGUCAGGGGUGAAAUCCCGGGGCUCAACCUCGGAAUUGCCUUUGAUACUGGGUGUCUUGAGUAUGAGAGAGGUGUGUGGAACUCCGAGUGUAGAGGUGAAAUUCGUAGAUAUUCGGAAGAACACCAGUGGCGAAGGCGACACACUGGCUCAUUACUGACGCUGAGGCUCGAAAGCGUGGGGAGCAAACAGGAUUAGAUACCCCGGUAGUCC